RNAcentral lists this long non-coding RNA (445 nucleotides) under Medicago truncatula (barrel medic). RNAcentral's name for it is "lncRNA gene31990". The record is from RNAcentral. Lineage: Eukaryota; Viridiplantae; Streptophyta; Magnoliopsida; Fabales; Fabaceae.
UGUGGCAGUACAAUAACUAAAUGAGAGCUCAUGAAAAAUGUAUCAUAAUGAAUAUUGCACAUUUCUUUUACUAGCACAAUAAUCCAUUCUCAUAUGUAAGGUGUUUCUGCACUCUUUUGGGUUUGGUACUCAUAUAAUCGGCGAAGCUUUUUAGUCAAUUCACAUUUGUGAUCAACACAUUUGACAACAUAAAACCAGUCUGUAAUUUGUGGACAAUCGGCAUCAGUUUCACAAUAAAUAUCUACUGUAAUGAAAAAGGAAAAGAAAAGAAAAUAAUGUUAACUAAAACAUGAUAAAAGAUUGUGUACGAACUGCAAAGUAAAUAGAAAAAAUUGAAAAGAAUGAGAAAUGACUUACCACCAUCAACUUCCGUUAUGACAAGAAAUAAGGGAAGAAAUAGAAUCAUAGCAUAAACAAAUUCGAGAAUUUCCACCAUAUGUUUUCC